This 107-nucleotide small RNA is filed under the name Marmota monax (woodchuck). The record is from RNAcentral. Lineage: Eukaryota; Metazoa; Chordata; Mammalia; Rodentia; Sciuridae.
GCCAGGCAUGGUGCCACAAGCCUGUAAUCCCAGCAGCUUGGGAGGCUAAGGCAGGAGGAUCAUGCGUUCAAAGCCAGCUGCAGCAACUUAGUGAGAUCCUGUCUCUA